AAGGAAUCUUCCACAAUGGGCGAAAGCCUGAUGGAGCAACACCGCGUGCAGGAUGACGGUCUUCGGAUUGUAACCUGCUUUUAUUAGAGAAGAUUAUGACGGUAUCUAAUGAAUAAGGACCGGCUAACUACGUGCCAGCAGCCGCGGUAAUACGUAGGGUCCAAGCGUUAUCCGGAAUCACUGGGCGUAAAGCGUGCGUAGGUGGCAUGUUAAGUGUGAUGUUAAAUCGCGGGGCUCAACCCUGUCGCUGCAUCACAUACUGGCAUACUAGAGGACGGCAGAGGCAAGUGGAAUUUGUAGUGUAGCAGUGAAAUGCGUAGAGAUUACAAGGAACACCAAUGGCGAAGGCAGCUUGCUGGGCCAAUCCUGACACUGAGGUACGAAAGCGUGGGGAGCGAAC
This 400-nucleotide ribosomal RNA is filed under the name uncultured bacterium. RNAcentral's name for it is "bacterial SSU rRNA". It matches the Rfam family "Bacterial small subunit ribosomal RNA", at positions 356 to 773 of the family's 1533-position model. The record is from RNAcentral.